Molecule: ribosomal RNA, 260 nt
Filed under: uncultured bacterium
Lineage: Bacteria
Description: partial 16S ribosomal RNA
Rfam family: Bacterial small subunit ribosomal RNA
Source: RNAcentral
CGUAGGGGGGCAAGCGUUGUCCGGAUUUAUUGGGCGUAAAGAGCGUGUAGGCGGCCAGACAGGUCCGUUGUGAAAACUAGAGGCUUAACCUCUAGACGUCGAUGGAAAACCGUCUGGCUAGAGUCCGGAAGAGGAGAAUGGAAUUCCUGGUGUAAGCGGUGAAAAUGCGCAGAUAUCAGGAAGAACACCCGUGGCUAAAGGCGGUUCUCUAGUACGGUACUGACGCUGAGACGCGAAAAGCGUGGGGAGCGAACAGGAUU